Molecule: ribosomal RNA, 427 nt
Filed under: uncultured bacterium
Lineage: Bacteria
Description: partial 16S ribosomal RNA
Rfam family: Bacterial small subunit ribosomal RNA
Source: RNAcentral
UGGGGAAUAUUGGACAAUGGGCGAAAGCCUGAUCCAGCCAUGCCGCGUGUGUGAAGAAGGUCUUCGGAUUGUAAAGCACUUUAAGUUGGGAGGAAGGGCAUUAUCCUAAUACGUUAGUGUUUUGACGUUACCGACAGAAUAAGCACCGGCUAACUCUGUGCCAGCAGCCGCGGUAAUACAGAGGGUGCAAGCGUUAAUCGGAAUUACUGGGCGUAAAGCGCGCGUAGGUGGUUUGUUAAGUUGGAUGUGAAAUCCCCGGGCUCAACCUGGGAACUGCAUUCAAAACUGACUGACUAGAGUAUGGUAGAGGGUGGUGGAAUUUCCUGUGUAGCGGUGAAAUGCGUAGAUAUAGGAAGGAACACCAGUGGCGAAGGCGACCACCUGGACUAAUACUGACACUGAGGUGCGAAAGCGUGGGGAGCAAACA